UAUAAGAAUAGGUUUCUUAAAAAAAGAUGAGAUAUUUUUAAUUUCUAAAAAAAAGAUGAGAUAUUUUAAAUUUGUGAAAGAGAAUUUUAGGUUUAUAAAAAAAAAAAGAUGAGAUAUUUAUAAAAAAAAUGAAAGGAGAAAAGUUAUACGUCGAGUAAAAAAUUUAGUAAAAUAAUAUGUGUAUAUAUAUAUUUAUAUAUAUUUUAGGUUUCUAGGGUUUUUUUUUUUAAAUCUAAAAACUAAGGGAUCUCCAUAUAAAUUAAUGAUGAAUAUGUGAACGGUUGAGAAAUGCUUUAAAGUGGUUCUUAAACCCUAUAUCUAAGACAUAUUAUGAGGAUUUAUGAGGAUUUAUGAGGAUUUUAAUGAGGAUAAAGGGAUGAAAAUAUUGUGAGGAUUUAUGCUUUAUGAGGGUGAAUUUAUGAGGAUUUUAAUGAGGAUAAAGGGAUGAAAAUAUUGUGAGAAUUUUUUAUGCUUUAUAUAUGUAUAUAUGAGGAUGAAAGGAUGAAGGGUUUCUUGCCACGUGGCAAGAAAGAUUGUGCUUUCAUUUAGAGUUAUAGAUAUGUUGUUUACUUACCCCUUUAUAGCAUGCCUCAGUUGACCUAGUAGUGUAUUUCGCCACUCUCGACGGCUUACCCACUGGGAACUGUUACCCCUAUUUGUUGUUGGUUUUUAUUUCAGAGCCUUUUGCGGUGGGAGAAGCUAGGGAUCGUGGCAAGGGGUUAGAGCCUCUACGGAGAUAUUAUAGAUGGACCCGAUGUCAUCUUUCCUUUUGUAUUUAUGGAAAAGAUGUAUUAUGUAUUUGAUUUAGAGAUGUUGUUAAACUUUUGGAUUUAGUUGUAUAUCUUGUGGAUCUCUUUGUGAUAUAGAAUUAGUGAUUUUAUAUU
RNAcentral lists this long non-coding RNA (884 nucleotides) under Ananas comosus (pineapple). Its description in RNAcentral is "long non-coding RNA (ACOM_LNC035033)". Lineage: Eukaryota; Viridiplantae; Streptophyta; Magnoliopsida; Poales; Bromeliaceae. The record is from RNAcentral.